AGGACGAACGCUGGCGGCGUGCUUAACACAUGCAAGUCGAGCGGUAAGGCCCUUUCGGGGGUACACGAGCGGCGAACGGGUGAGUAACACGUGAGUAAUCUGCCCUCCACUUGGGGAUAAGCUUCGGAAACGGGGUCUAAUACCUGAUACGACAACUACCUGCAUGGGUUGGUUGUGGAAAGUUUUUUCGGUGGGGGAUGUGCUCGCGGCCUAUCAGCUUGUUGGUGGGUAAUGGCCUACCGAAGGCUUCGACGGGUAGCCGGCCUGAGAGGGUGACCGGCCACACUGGGACUGAGACACGGCCCAGACUCCUACGGGAGCAGCAGGUGGGGAACAUUGGACAAGUGGGCGAAGCCUGAUCCAGCAACGCCGCGUGAGGAUGACGGCCUUGGUGUAACCUC
Molecule: ribosomal RNA, 401 nt
Filed under: uncultured soil bacterium
Lineage: Bacteria
Description: bacterial SSU rRNA
Rfam family: Bacterial small subunit ribosomal RNA
Source: RNAcentral